Molecule: ribosomal RNA, 332 nt
Filed under: uncultured bacterium
Lineage: Bacteria
Description: bacterial SSU rRNA
Rfam family: Bacterial small subunit ribosomal RNA
Source: RNAcentral
CGCGUAGGCGGAUAUUUAAGUCAGAUGUGUAAACUGUAGGCUUAACCUGGAGAUUGCAUCUGAUACUGGAUAUCUUGAGUGCAGGAGAGGACAGUGGAAUUCCUAGUGUAGCGGUGAAAUGCGUAGAUAUUAGGAGGAACACCAGUGGCGAAGGCGGCUGUCUGGACUGUAACUGACGCUGAGGCGCGAAAGCGUGGGGAGCAAACAGGAUUAGAUACCCUGGUAGUCCACGCUGUAAACGAUGGGUACUAGGUGUAGGGGGUAUCGACCCCUUCUGUGCCGGAGUUAACACAAUAAGUACCCCGCCUGGGGAGUACGGCCGCAAGGUUGAA